This 764-nucleotide ribosomal RNA is filed under the name Achromobacter sp. RNAcentral describes it as "bacterial LSU rRNA". It matches the Rfam family "Bacterial large subunit ribosomal RNA", at positions 230 to 1029 of the family's 2925-position model. The record is from RNAcentral. Lineage: Bacteria; Pseudomonadati; Pseudomonadota; Betaproteobacteria; Burkholderiales; Alcaligenaceae.
CGAGAUUCCGAAAGUAGUGGCGAGCGAAAUCGGAUGAGCCUUUACGUUUUAGCGCGCAGGAUAGUCGAACGGAAUGGAAAGUCCGGCCGUAGCAGGUGAUAGCCCUGUAGACGAAAUUCUGUGUGUGGAACUAAGCGUAAGACAAGUAGGGCGGGACACGUGAAAUCCUGUUUGAAGAUGGGGGGACCAUCCUCCAAGGCUAAAUACUCGUGAUCGACCGAUAGUGAACCAGUACCGUGAGGGAAAGGCGAAAAGAACCCCGGAAGGGGAGUGAAAUAGAUCCUGAAACCGUAUGCAUACAAACAGUAGGAGCCUCCUUGUGGGGUGACUGCGUACCUUUUGUAUAAUGGGUCAGCGACUUACAUUCAGUGGCAAGGUUAACCGAAUAGGGAAGCCGUAGCGAAAGCGAGUCCGAAUAGGGCGAAUUAGUCGCUGGGUGUAGACCCGAAACCAGAUGAUCUAUCCAUGGCCAGGUUGAAGGCACGGUAACACGUGCUGGAGGACCGAACCCACUAAUGUUGAAAAAUUAGGGGAUGAGCUGUGGAUAGGGGUGAAAGGCUAAACAAAUCUGGAAAUAGCUGGUUCUCUCCGAAAACUAUUUAGGUAGUGCCUCAAGUAUUACUGCGGGGGGGGUAGAGCACUGUUAUAGCUAGGGGGGUCAUGGCGACUUACCAAACUAUGGCAAACUCCGAAUACCCGCAAGUACAGCUUGGGGAGACAGAGCACCGGGUGCUAACGUCCGGACUCAAGAGGGAAACAACCCA